UACUAGUUAUGGCGCCACAUUGGCAAGCCUUGCUGUUAUGUUAUUUUGUUGUCUGCGAUAUUGUUGAUGGGUUCAACACGAAGGUGCUGCCACCUAUAAAACACGGGCAUGAAGUCGGUAUCAUCAUCAUCCCUGGUGCUUUAAUUGAUGCGGAAGCCUACACACCCCUGGGUAUGCAUCGUUUGAUCCUAACCCUAACAGUGGAACUGUACGCUUCGGUUCAAAUAUUAUUUAAUAACCAUAUGAAACCGUACAUAGUUGUACGCAUGUCGCGCCACAUUGCUAAUGUAGGCAUAGUAAUCUUUCAAGAAUGUAUUUUUAGCCGCCAAAAAUUAAGAAGCCACAAGUAGUUGUGUACAUGUAAAAGUCUCUUUAACCUUGGGUCGUUCCACAUUAAAGUCACGGCAUUCCAUGUUCCAGCAAAGCGACUGCAGGCGGAGUCACCACAUAGACUGUGGGUCGGUCUCUCAGGCGGUUAUCCAGCAGGGAUUCCUGGUAAUGUAGGUCCAGGUAUUGCCCAGGCACUGACGGACCUCAGAGCAGCUGGCAUGACAACGAACACUGUCUUCAUGGCUGGACAUCAGAUGGGAGGAACCUAUCUUAGUAUGUACCUACAGGAGAACAAGACUAAUGCCACCGCCAUGAUCUUGUUGGCUGCCUUUCGCUGGAUAGAGAUAGCUGGAGAUAAGUUACCAGCGAUUCCAACUCUCACUGUAUCCGGGGACCUGGACGGCCUCGUUCGCAUUAACGGCAUGGCCUACUACUGGCAACAGCUUAUUGAUGUCGCUAAACAAAACGCCACAGUGUUACAGACGCACCCAAUAGUUACUCUUCUCGGAGUGAACAAUGGUCAAUUCGCUUCUGGUAGACUGCCAAAUACCGUCACAGAUUAUGACAUCCAACCGGAAGUGGAUUCUGCCAUAGCCCAUGACAUGAUUGCCAAGGCAACGGUUUCAUUUAUGGUGUCUGUUACUGGGCAACCACGGUUCAGAGUGAAGGAAGCUAGAAAAGUGAUACAGAAGGAAAUACGGGAUAAUUAUGACCGUUUUCAGCCAUUCGUGUCUUUGUCAUCUCUUGAAGAAAACAAUGGACAUUCACCAUGGACUGAGCAUGCGCAAGAAUUGAUAGCAAAUCUUUCGGAAAAAACAAAAGCUCUAUUAAAGGUAAAACAUGCUGUCCCAAACACACAC
Molecule: unclassified non-coding RNA, 1190 nt
Organism: Lingula anatina
Lineage: Eukaryota; Metazoa; Brachiopoda; Lingulata; Lingulida; Lingulidae
Source: RefSeq, a predicted model, not a curated record